UGGGGAAUAUUGCACAAUGGGCGCAAGCCUGAUGCAGCCAUGCCGCGUGUGUGAAGAAGGCCUUCGGGUUGUAAAGCACUUUCAGCGAGGAGGAAGGUGGUGAGCUUAAUACGCUCAUCAAUUGACGUUACUCGCAGAAGAAGCACCGGCUAACUCCGUGCCAGCAGCCGCGGUAAUACGGAGGGUGCAAGCGUUAAUCGGAAUUACUGGGCGUAAAGCGCACGCAGGCGGUUUGUUAAGUCAGAUGUGAAAUCCCCGGGCUCAACCUGGGAACUGCAUUUGAAACUGGCAAGCUAGAGUCUCGUAGAGGGGGGUAGAAUUCCAGGUGUAGCGGUGAAAUGCGUAGAGAUCUGGAGGAAUACCGGUGGCGAAGGCGGCCCCCCUGGACGAAGACUGACGCUCAGGUGCGAAAGCGUGGGGCAGCAAAACAGGAUUAGAUACCCUGGUAGUCCA
Molecule: ribosomal RNA, 453 nt
Filed under: uncultured bacterium
Lineage: Bacteria
Description: partial 16S ribosomal RNA
Rfam family: Bacterial small subunit ribosomal RNA
Source: RNAcentral